Molecule: ribosomal RNA, 692 nt
Filed under: uncultured bacterium
Lineage: Bacteria
Description: bacterial SSU rRNA
Rfam family: Bacterial small subunit ribosomal RNA
Source: RNAcentral
GCGAACGGGUGAGUAACACGUGGGCAACCUACCCAAAAGAGGGGGAUAACACUUGGAAACAGGUGCUAAUACCGCAUAACCAUAGUUACCGCAUGGUAACUAUGUAAAAGGUGGCUAUGCUACCGCUUUUGGAUGGGCCCGCGGCGCAUUAGCUAGUUGGUGGGGUAAAGGCUUACCAAGGCAAUGAUGCGUAGCCGAACUGAGAGGUUGAUCGGCCACAUUGGGACUGAGACACGGCCCAAACUCCUACGGGAGGCAGCAGUAGGGAAUCUUCCACAAUGGGCGAAAGCCUGAUGGAGCAACGCCGCGUGGGUGAAGAAGGUCUUCGGAUCGUAAAACCCUGUUGUUAGAGAAGAAAGUGCGUGAGAGUAACUGUUCACGUUUCGACGGUAUUUAACCAGAAAGCCACGGCUAACUACGUGCCAGCAGCCGCGGUAAUACGUAGGUGGCAAGCGUUAUCCGGAUUUAUUGGGCGUAAAGGGAACGCAGGCGGUCUUUUAAGUCUGAUGUGAAAGCCUUCGGCUUAACCGGAGUAGUGCAUUGGAAACUGGGAGACUUGAGUGCAGAAGAGGAGAGUGGAACUCCAUGUGUAGCGGUGAAAUGCGUAGAUAUAUGGAAGAACACCAGUGGCGAAAGCGGCUCUCUGGUCUGUAACUGACGCUGAGGUUCGAAAGCGUGGGUAGCAAACAGGA